CCUACGGGUGGCAGCAGUGAGGAAUAUUGGUCAAUGGGCGUAAGCCUGAACCAGCCAAGUCGCGUGAGGGAUGAAGGUUCUAUGGAUCGUAAACCUCUUUUAUAAGGGAAUAAAGUGUGGGACGUGUCCUGUUUUGUAUGUACCUUAUGAUUAAGGAUCGGCUAACACCGUGCCAGCAGCCGCGGUAAUACGGAGGAUCCGAGCGUUAUCCGGAUUUAUUGGGUUUAAGGGGUGCGUAGGGGGCCUUUUAAGUAAGCGGUGAAAGUCUGUGGCUCAACCAUAGAAUUGCCGUUGAAACUGGGAGGCUUGAGUAUGUUUGAGGCAGGCGGAAUGCGUGGUGUAGCGGUGAAAUGCUUAGAUAUCACGCAGAACCCCGAUUGCGAAGGCAGCCUGCCAAGCCAUGACUGACGCUGAUGCACGAAAGCGUGGGGAUCAAACAGGAUUAGAUACCCUAGUAGUC
This 460-nucleotide ribosomal RNA is filed under the name uncultured bacterium. RNAcentral describes it as "partial 16S ribosomal RNA". It matches the Rfam family "Bacterial small subunit ribosomal RNA", at positions 338 to 795 of the family's 1533-position model. The record is from RNAcentral.